This 513-nucleotide long non-coding RNA is filed under the name Vigna radiata. RNAcentral describes it as "long non-coding RNA (VRAD_LNC005736)". The record is from RNAcentral. Lineage: Eukaryota; Viridiplantae; Streptophyta; Magnoliopsida; Fabales; Fabaceae.
UUACUUUGGUAAGUAGGCAGGAGUAUGUUGGUCUGCGCUACUUUGGUAAGUAGGCAGGAGUAUGUUGGUCUGCGCUACUUUGGUAAGUAGGCAGGAGUAUGUUGGUCUGCGCUACUUUGGUAAGUGGGCAGGGAGAUAUUGGUAUUGAAUUACUUUGGUAAGUAGGUUGAAGAAUUGGUACUACGCUACUUUGGUAAGUAGGUAGAAUAAUCUGACGACAUUCUACUUUGGUAAGUAGACAAGUGAAACGGGUAUUGCGCUACUUUGGUAAGUAGGUCAGAAAAGGAGAGGUUGUGACACUUUGAUAAGUGAGAUGAUAAUUCUUUUACUGAAGAAUAAUAUUGUUAUAUUAUGUUUAAUAGUGUGAUUAACUGUAUCGAACAUUGUAAAUAUAUUAUAAAGGACUGUGAACGAUUUGUAUGUUUGUGACAGUUAGCUCACCCUGUUGUUUGUGUUUGUGUUUGUGCAUGUGAAUGCGAUGAUCGUAUAACGCGUGAUGUUAUACGUGAGUAG